Molecule: ribosomal RNA, 301 nt
Filed under: uncultured bacterium
Lineage: Bacteria
Description: partial 16S ribosomal RNA
Rfam family: Bacterial small subunit ribosomal RNA
Source: RNAcentral
CAGUAGCCGCGGGAAUACAGAGGGUGCGAGCGUUAAUCGGAUUUACUGGGAGUAAAGCGUGCGUAGGCGGCUUCUUAAGUCGGAUGUGAAAUCCCUGAGCUUAACUUAGGAAUUGCAUUCGAUACUGGGAAGCUAGAGUAUGGGAGAGGAUGGUAGAAUUCCAGGUGUAGCGGUGAAAUGCGUAGAGAUCUGGAGGAAUACCGAUGGCGAAGGCAGCCAUCUGGCCUAAUACUGACGCUGAGGUACGAAAGCAUGGGGAGCAAACAGGAUUAGAUACCCGCGUAGUCCCUGUCUCUUAUAC